RNAcentral lists this ribosomal RNA (1206 nucleotides) under metagenome. RNAcentral describes it as "bacterial SSU rRNA". It matches the Rfam family "Eukaryotic small subunit ribosomal RNA", at positions 721 to 1759 of the family's 1831-position model. The record is from RNAcentral.
UUUCGGGUUGGACUGCCCGGCGCAAGCCGGCGGCCUCUCGGGAUUGGAUCCAAAGGCGGGUGUCGGAGGCGACCAUAAUGGCCAGGGACCGGCGUAUCCCGCUCGCCCUCGUGGUUUGAGCGGUGGGGCUACCCCUGGUCGUUUUACUUUGAGGAAAUGUGAGCGCUCCAAGCAGCCCCUUUUGGGGCCUGAAGCCUGCAGCAAAGAAUAAUGCAACACGGCCUAACAACCGUGGUGUAUUGAUGCACCGCACGGCAAUGGUCAAUAGGGGGGAUCGGGGUCGGCCUCAUGGCAGGGGUAGGGGUGAAAUCCGUUGAUCCUUGCCAGGAGAACAAGAGCGAAAGCAGCCGACAAGUACCCUUUCUUUGAUCAAGAACGAAAGUCUGGGGAUCGAAGAUGAUCAGAUACCAUCGUAGUCCAGACCCUAAAUGCUGCCGACCAUGGAUGGGCGCAAGUCCGUCCCGACCCUGUCCGCACCUUGUGAGAAAUCAUCAAGUGUUUGGGCUCCGGGGGGAGUAUGGUCGCAAGACUGAAACUUAAAGGAAUUGACGGAAGAGCACACAAGGAGUGGAGCCUGCGGCCUAAUUUGACACAACACGGGGAAACUCACGAGUGCAAGAGAGGGUCAUGAUGCCCGGCACGAAUUGCCUGGCAGAUUCUCUCAGUGGUGGUGCAUGGUCGUUCUUAGUUCGUGGAGUGAUUUGUCUGGUCUAUUCCGCUAACGAGCGAGAACCCGCCUUAUGGAUGUUGCCUGCUUCGUCGCGGGGCUUGCUGCGGCUGGGCUGCUUCUAUUGGUCCCGCAAGGGAUCUCUAAGGGGCGGACUAGCGGGCGUCCCAAUUAUAGACGAGGUUAGGGUCCUGCAGGGUGCCCCGGCGAUAAGCCGGGGAUCUGGGUCAAUAACAGGUCAGUGAUGCCCUUAGAUGCACUCGGCUGCACGCGCGCUACAAUGGGAGGGCCAACGGGUCUUCAGCCCCUACGCGGGCGCGGAGAAUCCUAGUAACCCCGCCCACAUCCGGGAUCGCAGCAUGUAAUAUGCGGCGUGAACAUGGAAUUUCUAGUAGGCACGGUUCACCAGACCGUGCCGAUUCUGUCCCUGCUCUUUGUACACACCGCCCGUCGCUCCUACCGAUUGGGUUGCGGGGUGAGAUAUGGGGACCCCAAGAACUCUGUUCUGCUGGAGGGCAACCUCCGGUGGGUAACCACUU